GCUAGGCUAGGAGAGGAGGCAGUGCGGUGGCGGACGAUGAAGUUGCGAGCCCGCAAGGAUGGAGAAAGAUCGGAGGGCGACAUGAAGCGGCGGACGCCGGCGACCGCGACUAAAUCAACACAGGUCAGUGCUCUCUGGCCAUCUCCUCCCUAUUUUCUCUUAUCUCCGGCUAAAUUCUGGUACGCAUGUCAGCUCUCUGUCCUCAGCCUGUGCGCCCCGACUUAUCCCCCAUGUCGCUUCCAUGUUUGAUGUAAAUCUUUUGUGAAGAGCACCUAAGCCAGCUAUCCGUUACGGGAUUCUCCUCGCCCCGUUUCUCUUCCAACUGCCGUCUAUGGAGAAGCCAGUAUAAUUCUUCGCCACUUCAAUUCCUAAAUCUCCCAAACCAAAUCUAAAGUAUCUGUUUUUCUUAGUUUGCUUUUUCAAAGUGCACUCGCAAAGGUUUUAAUCGAGAGUUUCACAUCUACGGAUGAUGCAGUGCUCUGAUUUUUUACUGAAACCUUGCCUCUACCAUGUGGCUGCAUUUUUUUGCAGGCUAAGUCAUUUGGCUGACAUGUGAUUGCCCUGUUCGUACAUGGACGGAAAAGCCUUAGAUUUAUAAAAUGUUGAAUUGUUAAUUUUGAGAUGUUCGCAAGAAAGAUGUACACUGUAAGUUCGCUGUAUCGGAAAAUGGCAUUUCUGGCUGGUCAGCAAGAGGCAUGUUCUAAUAUUAAACUAUGUUGACAAUGUCUUUCUGGCUGCGCAAAAGUAAUUUAUAUGUCUUACGUAGCUGAAACCAGAUGAUUGUCUUUAGCGAUGGGAUCUGGAAUCUGCGCUGCCAUAAUAAGAUGGAUUGUGCAUAAACCAAGCUUGGCAUGAACUUUCAAAUUAUAUUAAGUUUCCAUGAUUUUAGUCCUGUACAAGUGUCCAUUUAUACUGAUUUUUCUUACAUGAGGGAUGAAUCACCUUUGAAGUAAGAACGAAAAUUCUUCUAGAUUAUAUGGAAGCAUAAGGGGGAGUACAUGCACAAAUCAAAAUCAUGGUUUUAUUUUCAGUUAUCUCUUUCUACAUUCUUGUGCUUUGUUUUGGUAUCAGAACAAUUCUUCUUUCUUUUCAAAAUUAUAUUCCAGUGUUUCCAUGCAGGGUUUCAGUGUAAGUUUUUGAUUGAGGGAAAAUUUGAUCAAUCUAAUGAUUUAUUGUUUCUUCAGGUGAGAGCAUGACAGGAAAUGUUGUGAUUAGUUUAGCCUGCCUAAACCCUAAUUAGUAGACCAUGGUAUCUCUCACUAGGUAUUAUUUACCACCAUGUGAAAAGAGUUGGUCCCCUAGGUAGAUAGAUUGUUUACCAUCAUUUUUAUUUCUCGAGCACCAAAGCUAAAGCGUAAUUAGUAUCUAUGAUAUCACAUUGAGACAAUGAUAAAAACUAAAAAACUGCAGCUCAAAUCCAUAUUCUCCUUCAAUAGGAAACAACCCAAUAUUUUUUUUUCAUCGCCAUGGUUUCUAAUUAGUGUCAAAUUUAGUUACAUAUGAUUCGAUUAUUUAUGACCUGUGUAUGUAUUGCUACAUAAGGUGGAAAUCAAUUCUAUAGUUAAUAUUCUGUUUCAAGGUCAACAUGGGGUAGCGUUUUAUUUGUUACACUCUUUUGAAGUAAUUUUAUCUCUUUGCCAGACACUGGAAAAUAAUUCAGGUACCUGACAAGGAAACUAUUCAAAUGUAGGAGGCAGCUCAAGCAGUUGGUCAUUCAGAUUUACCAACCUUUCUGAUUUUCAUCAGGCAAGUCAUAUGGCGACCUCAAGCUUUGGGGAAAAUGGGUUGGCUGUGGAUUAAAACUGAGCUUACAUAACAAAAAGCAAUUGUGAGAAUUUUACCCUCUGAUGUUGCAGCAGUGGGAUGCUCUUAUGCUGUCUAAUUUUUAUUUGGACAGCAGCUACACACAGCAAGACAACAACUUAGUCAUGCAAAUAACUGAGUCGUGUAUUAUACUAUAUCAGUUUUUUCAAUCUUUUGAGAUAUACACGUUUUAGUUGUUUUCAAUAAGAAAUCAUUCUUCCUUUAAAAGAGCAAGUAUGUGUUUUAUAUAAGGAUCCUGGUAACUUCAUACUUGCUACUUAGUUAAGUUUGUGACAGCGCAGCCUAUUGAUUUUUGUGGAUGUUUUUGUAUGGUUUUGGAGCUUAAUAAAUCCAUAGGUGGGGCAUGUUUGUGAAUCACUUGGAUCAGAUAUUCCUUCAAUUAUUUAUAGAAAUGCUUUAUUUUUUAGUUUUCUUUUUUAUUUUGUUUGGGAUUUCCCUCAUGACUUAUCCGUGAGAUGACAUGUAAGUCAUCUCGAUUUCAUUUUUGUUUUUGUUUACUUUUCUAUUGAAAGGUUCAGAAAUCUACAUCAGUUACUAUGUCCAUGGUCUUGGAUCACUCCUCCACAUAAUCCAUGAUAUACCUCUAGCUAAUCACAUGUCAUUUCCAUCUUAUUUGUGCUGCUUCGUUUACAAUUUUGGCACUAAGUACAAAGUUGCAGCACAAGCUCAAGCAAUGACAUCUUAUGAUGAGCAUAUGGCUGUAGUAUGCGAGCUUGAAUAUUCAUUGUGGUUCACUUACCAUCUUUUAUGUCACAUUGUACAUGGUGUGCAAUAGGUAUGCCAUUUAUUACUGAUUCACCUUCAUGCAGAGAACGACUUCCUUAGCCUAUGAAAAUUAUCUGUAUAGACUGCCUCCUUGUCAGGAAACAUGCUAAGAUCAGUGGGAAUAAAUAUGAUUUGAAGAAGAAUAUAUUUCUCAUUUAUUCUCUGAAUCCUAAAAUCCUAAAUCGUUAUGGGUAUGGCACCAUCAGUUGUGUUCCAUUGUAAUCAGCAGAUUUUCUGUGCACGAAGGUGAACUGAACCUCUGCAUUCAUUUUGGAUAAUGAAAACAGAAAGAUAAUAGAGGUAUGUAGUGCGGAUGUCCCGUUGGUAACACUCUAGGUAAUUAAGACAGAUUAUUGUUGAACAUAAAAAUCGCCACUGAUUCACUCUCAUCAAAGGUUGUGCUUUGAGGAAACAAGCAUUGAAAGGGUGCAUGUAUAUUUUUGAAAUAUUCUUUCUGACAUCAUAAGCAUAUUCUUAAGUUUAUUAUUACCACUUUCUUUUUUAAUCUUUUCUGCCUAGCUUAUCGAAUUGAUGAUAUCUUAGUUCGAUCAAACAUCUAACUGAAUUGAGGUGAUUAUUAAUUUACCUAGCAACGCUCAGUAGCUACUGGGGGCAUUGGCUAAGGAGCCAUGUUCUCUUAGUUUGAUCAAACACUUAACUGAAUUGAGUUGAUAAUUAAUUUACGUACCAAUGCUCAGUAGCUACUGGGGACAUUGGCUAGGCAGCCACGGACAAUUGAGGCCCGAUAGCUUGAUCUACUAUGCAUUGUCAGUGUUGUUCAUAUCUGACGUUCAAACCUGAGAUGCCGAUGUAUGUCAGACCAAUUCCAUGGUGGAGAUUUUUCCUAAUAUUUUUAUAAUUCAUUGUUAUUUGUUGAAAGUGAAAGAAAAGAGGGAUGGGAGGCAUCUGCCAAUGAUGCCCAUAAUUUAUCCAAAAAAUCAAGUUCGUGAUAUAAUAGUUACACUGAGCUGUCUUAAAGAAUAACUAAUGAGCAUAUGGGAUAUUUUGUGGAUUUGCGUGAGGUUUUUUUUAGAUAUUAAUAUUUAUAUUCCAUUUUCCUGGAAAUUUUUAGAUGUUAAUAUUAAUAUUCCAUUUUCCUGGAAAUGUACAAUAAAUCGAUG
This is an RNA transcript of Lolium rigidum, 3710 nucleotides long. RefSeq lists it as uncharacterized. The transcript is spliced from 2 exons. NCBI's taxonomy places the organism in Eukaryota, Viridiplantae, Streptophyta, Magnoliopsida, Poales, Poaceae. The record is from RefSeq and is a predicted model, not a curated record.